This 471-nucleotide ribosomal RNA is filed under the name uncultured bacterium. Its description in RNAcentral is "bacterial SSU rRNA". It matches the Rfam family "Bacterial small subunit ribosomal RNA", at positions 8 to 526 of the family's 1533-position model. The record is from RNAcentral.
AGGGUUUGAUCAUGGCUCAGGAUGAACGCUGGCGGCGUGCUUAACACAUGCAAGUCGAACGAACCUUCGGGUUAGUGGCGGACGGGUGAGUAACGCGUGAGAAUCUGCCCUCAGGAGGGGGAUAACGGUUGGAAACGACCGCUAAUACCCCAUAUGCCUAUUGGUGAAAUGAAUUUCGCCUGAGGAUGAGCUCGCGUCUGAUUAGCUAGUUGGUGAGGUAAUGGCUCACCAAGGCUUCGAUCAGUAGCUGGUCUGAGAGGAUGAUCAGCCACACUGGGACUGAGACACGGCCCAGACUCCUACGGGAGGCAGCAGUGGGGAAUUUUCCGCAAUGGGCGAAAGCCUGACGGAGCAACGCCGCGUGAGGGACGAAGGCCUCUGGGCUGUAAACCUCUUUUCUCAAGGAAGAAGAUAUGACGGUACUUGAGGAAUAAGCCACGGCUAAUUCCGUGCCAGCAGCCGCGGUAAUAC